Long non-coding RNA from Priapulus caudatus, 201 nucleotides. RefSeq lists it as uncharacterized. The transcript is spliced from 3 exons. The record is from RefSeq and is a predicted model, not a curated record. NCBI's taxonomy places the organism in Eukaryota, Metazoa, Priapulida, Priapulimorpha, Priapulimorphida, Priapulidae.
CAGAUGACCACUCCAGAGUGAUUCUGGAGCCAGCCGUCAAUUCCACGGGUGAUUACAUUAAUGCCAGCAUUCUACAGGGAUACUCGACAGACUCUGUCCUUCUGGCGGCUCAAGGGCCUAAGAAAACCGAAAUAGCGGAUUUCUGGAGAAUGGUGUGGCAACAAAACGUGCGAAACCUUGUGAUGCUGACUAGACUUCUGG